GUGAAUUUUUUGUCAUGGAUUGAUAAAUUUUGUUUGGCGAUGCUCACAAACGGAGUUUGCUAGCAUUUGGCUGAAUUUAUCACAGUUGGCGUCUGGUAGCCCAGUUGCCAUUUGGAGAAAACAUAUGAUGGUUGCCCUUCAAUGUUUUUAUCUUGGACAUUAAUGAGAAAUUGUCGAUGAAUGCAAAUUCGUUGGCCGGUUGAUACAUAGUUGAACUGUCCUAAUAAAUCCAUGACAAAAAAUUGCCAAAAUUCAAACUUACUAUUUGUUGUUUUUUUUUAUGAUCAUAUAUUAGUUUGUCUUACAAUUUGUUCACAUUUGUAUAACGAAGGUAAUCUGGAGUCGUUGGAAAUAUUACGAGGGAUUUCAACGAAUUUGGGUUAUCUUUUAUCUGGUAUAUCGUAUUCCUAAAUUGACUUCUGUUGGUUUCUUUCGAAUAUUUAAUAAUAAGAUUUAAUCAUUCAGCAUUAAAUCAAUUUAAUAAAUUGAGAGUAUCGUCUGCUAAACUAGAGUUAACUUUCUUUAAUUUUGACGGACUUAAGCGUCUUUUGUUAACCUACAUUUUUCAUAAGCGGUUUUCCCGCUUUUAUUUGGUAUAAAAUUGCAUGCUUUUCGUGAUUUGAACUCUGAAAGAACACAAAAACCCACCCUAUCCCACCCUUUAGAAUAUUUUUUCUGCUGUUUGUUGUAUAUUUUCAGAUAUUGCCAAAAGAAGCGUCAUGGAUUGGACAGAAUGUUUACUGAAUACAUAGUUUUACUGAAGGGCUGAAUUUAUCACAGUUGGCGUCUGGUAGCCCAGUUGCCAUUUGGAGAAAACAUAUGAUGGUUGCCCUUCAAUGUUUUUAUCUUGGACAUUAAUGAGAAAUUGUCGAUGAAUGCAAAUUCGUUGGCCGGUUGAUACAUAGUUGAACUGUCCUAAUAAAUCCAUGACAAAAAAUUGCCAAAAUUCAAACUUACUAUUUGUUUUGUUUUUAUUAUGAUCAUAUAUUAGUUUGUCUUACAAUUUGUUCACAUUUGUAUAACGAAGGUAAUCUGGAGUCGUUGGAAAUAUUACGAGGGAUUUCAACGAAUUUGGGUUAUCUUUUAUCUGGUAUAUCGUAUUCCUAAAUUGACUUCUGUUGGUUUCUUUCGAAUAUUUAAU
RNAcentral lists this long non-coding RNA (1141 nucleotides) under Mytilus galloprovincialis (Mediterranean mussel). Lineage: Eukaryota; Metazoa; Mollusca; Bivalvia; Mytilida; Mytilidae. The record is from RNAcentral.